Papio anubis (olive baboon) is the source of this 2210-nucleotide long non-coding RNA. The record is from Ensembl. Lineage: Eukaryota; Metazoa; Chordata; Mammalia; Primates; Cercopithecidae.
GGACAGUUACUCAGCUCUUUUAAGUUACUAUCUCUUCCUCUGUGAGAAGUCCUUGGGCCAUGCACACAUGGACAACCUCCCCUGACUAAGACUUCUGUUUCAGUCUUUCUAUCUUUUGCAUAACUAAGUCACACUGAAUUCCCAGUUGUGAAGAUUAGCUAAAAUCAUGAAUGCAGUAUAUUAUUAAGUACAUUACUUAGAACAGGAAUUAAUAUUAUUCUUUGGGCUCUGUUUCUUGUAUAAGCCCGGGCUCUUUGCAGAAGAGAGUUGCUAAGGGUUGCUUCCCCAUGGCAUUUUUCUAACAGGUAGGGCAAAGUGAAGAGAUAAGGUACAGCCAGGUUGAGCCAAACUACCCUAUCUUCUCCCAUGUAGGCUUGAAGAUUGGUAGUGGUACAUCAAGUGGGUCCAGUGGUACCUGUCAUGUCAUCUUUCUUUCUUUGGUGGCUUCAACUCCUUUAAUUUUUUUUUUUCCAUCAGCUGCGCCAUUUGACCCUUCAAUAGCUUUGACUCAGACACAUACAUGUGAGUGAGGAUAAGAACACAUUUGGUACAUUUGACUGCUUUUGCUCUAAUGGCCUAAGUACAGGUCCAGGUGAACCCAAACAACUGUCCCCUUGCAUAGGUACAGGGACCAACUUUGAUGCAUAAACUGAGAGAAUCCCUGGAAGAGAUCCACAAGAUGCGCAAAGAUCACAAGGCAGACCGUCAAACUGAUUUUAAAAGAAUGCACUGAAGCCAAGGUCCUGUACAUCAUCAAGCGUGGCUCAUGGAAAGAAGGAACAAUGACCACAUUCACCAAAAGGGUAUCUCCAUGGACAAGUUCUGUGAAUGCAUCUGCCCCCAAAACAUUCUACAUUGCUCGGAUUAGCCUCAAGAAAGUGGGACCUAAAUGGGGCAGAGGAGCCUCUCGCUGUGGCCACCACUGCCUUCAGCCCAUAAGUGAGUUUUUCCAGGCUACCUCCGAUGAUCACUUAAAGCUCAGCGGCUCUUCAUUCAGCUUGUGGUGAGUGCUGCCAGGCCUGAGACUCCCACUUAAGGGUAGUGGGACUCCUCUCUGGCCCAGGGCAGGUCUAGAAAUGCUGUCCAAGAGCUUAGGCAUGGACUCAAAGACCCCAAGAGCCUGCUUUUUCUCUGUCCCACUGUGGCCAAGCUGGUACCUAAGAUGCAAGACAAAGUUCCCUUUACUUUUCUCUCUGCUUUUCUCAAACAGAAGGGGUCUCUCCCUGUAGCCACCAAAGCUGGGAAUGUGCUGGGUCACACUUGAAUCCAGCAUGUCUAAGAGCCCAGUGACCACAGUAUACUACUACCUGGGUAUUGCUUCUGCUUAUUCAGGGCCCAAGAGUUCUCUAGACAGCAGGUAGUGAAUCCUGCCAGUCCUGGGUCCUCUUCCAGGCUGAAGCUUCCCCUUUGGCUCAAGGUGUGUCUGGAAAUGUCACCUAGUAGCUAAGGCCUGGAACAGGUAUCUCAUGACUCUGCACAAUACCCUAUCCUACUGUGGCUGAGAUGGUAUCCAAGAUGUAAGCCCUCUUUGCUCUUCGUUCUCCUCACCUUAAGUAGCAAGCUGAGCUGCCUUGGACAUGGCACAAGCACUGCUUUAUGUGUUCCAUCCGAUGUCUCCCUAGGUCAUGUGCCAUCCUAGUACACUGACUCUAAGUCCAGGUUAGCACUAAGAGUUACCAAGAACUUCAGUCCUUGUGUCAUAGACUGCCUUUCAAGUUUACUUGGAACCCCAGAGCACUUCAGCCUGCUGUGGUGAGGCAUGCUGAGAAACUGAAGUUCAAAGUACUGGGCUGGGUGAUUCUUUUCUGGCUAGGUGAGGUCCAAAUGCUCCCUCUUACAUGGGUGCUGGCUGAGCCCAGCACAGCUUUGCUCUCUGCUGUGACAGGGCAGCACUGAAUUCAAUGUAAAGUCCUCCAGUUGCUGUGGUCUCCCUCUUUCAAGUGCACAGACUCUCUCCCAACAGCAUGACUGCUGCCAGAGGAAUUACUAAUUCCCCUGUAGGAGAUUCAGGACUGUCUGUCUUACUUUCUUCAGUGACACGAAGUUCAAACCAGGUAGUCUAAUUGCUCACCUGAUUUUUGGCUCUCGUGAUGGUUCUUUUCUGUGUGCAGAUAGUUGUUAAAAUUUGGUGUUACUGUCGGGAUGAACAGUGUAGACUUCUAUUCCACAAUCUUGCUCUGCCCGCUUCCUGCCCGCAGUUGAGAUUCUUG